RNAcentral lists this non-coding RNA (50 nucleotides) under unclassified sequences. Its description in RNAcentral is "S4-Clostridia ribosomal protein leader". It matches the Rfam family "S4-Clostridia ribosomal protein leader". The record is from RNAcentral.
GAAAGGCUGUAUUUUCAUACAGCUGGGUACCACACGGUGCCCCAGUUAGA